GAGAAUUCAAUCAUAACGAAGAGAGUAAUGAUAUAAAUGAAUUAAUACAUCAUAAAUUCAAAAACCCAUAGCAAUAGAGAGUAUACUACAAGGUUUUCAUAACCCUAACAAAUAAACUUAGCUACUCAUGAAUAAAAUGGAAAUCACAAUAGAAAUAUUCAUCAUACCAAAACAUAGAACGAUCUUGGUGGAGAAGAUGAAUAGCGAAAAUAAGAGAGAAAAACAUUUCUCUCCCUUUCUCCUCAAGCUAAGCCGCUUUUUCUCUUUUUUGAAAUAAUACAGAAUAAUGAAUCCCUAAAAAUUCAGCCAUAAGGCUUUUAAUAACAUCCUUCUCUAAUAAAUUGCUACUGCAUCCUUAACUAUUUAAAAAUAUUGAGUUUGCCCGGGAAAAAGUUCCCAUAUAUCACAUUUAGUUCAAAAGCUGCCUUCCUUUUAUGUGAAGUUUCCUUUGCUAUCCACAAGUCGCCAAAUUGUCGUAAUCUUCCUCAUUAGUACCUGAAAAGCAUGCUAAUCAUAAAGGUCAGCUCACUUAACUAAAAAUAGACAAAGUGCAAGAAUUAUGUAUUUUAUCCUCAAAACUUAGCUAAAACAUGGGUAAGUUAUAGAUUCUCGACCAAACAAUUACAUGAAUUCAAUUAAAAUCAACAAUCAAUACAAGAGUCACAACUAGAGCCUAGGUGUUUCAAAAUGUAAUGAUCUAUCACAUACUUAGGUUAUAAUGUCAUGUGACCCACAACAAUAGUUACAUGCAAUUAAAUGACUAAUUUUCUCUUAAGACGGUCGUCAUCCAUCCAUCAUCGAGAAAAACACCUAAUUAUGACUAAAUAACUAACAAAAUGAAAUAAACAAAAUAACUAAUCCUAUCAAGAAGUAUACUAAGGAGAAGGUCCUCUUUUCUUACAAAACAAGUAGAAAAGUAACCAGCCACCCCACACUUAUGCUCAGCACUGUCCCCAGUGUAAAUAACAAGAUAAAAAACUGGCUAGUAGUACUUCUCAUCCACAUUAGGAGUCAUGCCACCUGCAUGGAGAUCAUCAUUGGAGCAAAUAACAAAGUUAUUUGGUACUAUUUUUCUUACAAAACAAGUAGCAAAGUAACCAGCCAGUGGGCAUAAGCAAUGACAUAGGCGGUGCCUAAGCUAUAGCCUAUGUUGACAUAGGCGGCGCCUAACCUAUUGCCUAAGUUGACAUAGGCGGCACCUAAACUAUUGCGUAAGUUGACAUAGGCGGCGCCUAACCUAUCGCCUAAGUUGACAUAGGAGGUGCCUAACCUAUCAUCUAAGUGUGGCAGUGAGCAUAGGCAAUGGUAGAAACGGCGCCUAACCUAUCGCCUAUGAUGACAUAGGUGGCGCCGAACCUAUCGCCCAAGUAAGGCAGUGAGCAUCGACGAUUGGAAAUGCGGUGCACUCUUGGUCGGAAAGGUCCAUACCACAGGGGCGCCCGAUCCCUACGCUACCACCACAGACCUAAUUGAAAGUCACAAAAUAAAAUUGCACCGCAAAACUUUUUGGGUCGAAUUAACAUAAUUCGAGGCGCGACUCUAAUGCGAAUCAACUUGAGCGUUACACAUUUGACCAAUCCAACUUACCUGUAAUGUUCCCAUCACUCCUAAACUUACCACCAUUGACAUGGAUCACUUCCAAAUCAAAAUUGGUGCUAAUAUCCUCCUUAGCACUUCAUGCACCUACACUUAAUCAAAAACAACAAAAAUGAUUAGAAAGAUGGGUUGCCUCCCACCAAGCACCGUAGUUUCGGUCGUGGCUCGACUCUUCUUUUUGUAUUUUUGUUUAACAUGAUAAAGUAAAAAAAAUCAUGGGUUGCCUACCAUGUAGCGCCUGAUUUAACAUCGCGGCACGACUCGAUUAUCUUGACUACUCAGACUUCGUCAAGAUACAUCGAUGAUACCAUUUGUACCUCAUUUUUUGGAUCAAGACAAUGCUUUAUUCUUAGUCCAACCACUUUGAAGUUACUCACAUCCUUUUUUGCAAGUUCAAAAAAACCAGCUAUGGUCUUCACAAAAGACAUAUCCUUAACUGGUACAUCUCACUUAUCUUCAUAGAAUACAUCAACAAUCGAGAAGACACUCAUUUCCUUUUGUUGUUUCAUAGACCGACAUACUUCAAAGCUAACUUCUUUCUCAUUAAGCCUAAAUUUUAGCUCAUUUAGCUCCAUGUCAACUAACACCCUUCCAGUUUCUAAGAAUGGACUACCAAAAAUUAUGGGUACUUCAAAUUCCACUUUGUAAUCAAGAAUAACAAAAUCGGCAGGAAAUAUAAAAUCAACUUUUACAAGUACAUUAUGUAGAAUCCCAAUCGGCCUUUUUACUGAUCUAUCUGCCAUUAGAAGCUGCAUAUUAGUGGGCGUAGGAUCUCCUAAACCCAAUUUCUUGAAAACCGUCAAUGGCAUAAGAUUGAUACUUGUCCCAAGAUCACAAAGAGCCUUUUCAAACUUUAGUAAUCCAAUCAUACAUGGAAUAGUAAAUGCUCCCAGAUCAGCUUUCUUCUGGACAAUAGAUCUUGUAGCAAUAGCAUUAAAAUGAUGAAGAUUGUAUACCAUUUCAUAGCUCACUAUCCUUUUGUUUGUCAACAGGUCUUUCAUAAACUUAGCAUAUCCGGGCAUCUAUUCUAGUGCUUCAACUAAGGGCAAAUUCACUGUCAACUGCUUAAACAUAGCCAUGAAUUUGCUAAACUUGCCAUCAUCUUCUUUCUUCUUUAAUCAUUUUGGAAAUGGAGGUGGCGGCCUUGGCAUUUUAGUUGGAGCAACUUUUACCUCCUUUCUUAUGCCUUGCUCUACAUCACUAACAUGCUUCGUCUUCGUUGGUUGUUCAACUUCCGCACUCUUCUUUUUCUAACCUCCCAACUCCACAGGCACCACUGGAGAUUCAUCAACUAUUUUCCAAUCCAUUUCAAGCUCAUCAGUAUAAGAGGAAGCUCCCAAACCUGGACAAGAUAACAUCUUACCGCUCCUAGUGGUAAUGGCCAUGCACGAUCUAUCAGUCCUCGAAUUCUGAACUGUAUCCCUUGGUAGAGUCCCAUUCUUUCUUUGGUUGAAUGCUGUGGAUAAUUGGCUCAUCUGCUGCUCCAAUUGUUUAAUAGCAACUGAGUACAAAUUUACAAGUUGACUUAUGGAAGAUACGACACUCUUUAUUGUAGUCACCCCAGAAUUUGCCGCCUCAAAUCCCUUUAAUACUUUCUCCAUCAUGUUCUUCAUCGACAUUUUGCCUGAACUGGUGGCAGCAUUAUCAUCGAUUCCAGGAGGUACAUACAGUCCAGUCCUGUCACUUUUAUUCUUCCAAUCUCCUUGAUGGUUCCAACCUUGGUUUCUUUGGCCACCACUUCGGAAACCCAUCUUAUUAUUCAAGUAAUUGGCUUCUUCCUCUGGAUUGGAGUCAGCCCUUCCAUGUGAUGCUACAGCUUUAACCUUCUCUGUCUUUCCUAAUAAUAAAUGCUUAGUGGGAAGGUUUAUCUAUGUUUUCAUGUGAGCCAUAUCCUGGACAUGCUCUUCUUCUCUUUGCCUCUGUUCUGCAGUCAUGCCAAUCGAUACAGUAGAGCUUGAUACCUCAGAAUCCCUAGCAUGCCAAGCUCUACUCUGCUUUGUCAUACGAUCUAACAUGUUAUAUGCCUUAAGAAAAGUAAGGUCCAUGAAUGACCCACCCGCAACAUUAUCUACCACUGGCUUAGUCACCAAAUUCAAAGCCCUAUAUAAUAUAUCCAUCAAGUGGACAUUGGUCAUCUGAUGAUUUGGGCACCAUAUCAGCUUCUUCUUGAACCUCUCCCAAGUCUCAUGGAGAGCUUCAGUUGGAAGCUAUCUAAAAUUGCUUAUCUCAUCUCUUAAUUGUGCUCUCUUGGAUGAUGGAAAAAUCUUUCUAGGAAAGCGUCUUUCAGUUGCCUCCAAUUGGUAAUAGAGUUGGGAUUUAGCCCAUUUAACCAUAGAGUUGCCUCUCCAGAUAGAGAAAAUGGAAAUAAAUGCAGCCAGAUUGCAUUCUGUCCAAUCCCUGGAUUGUCAAACGAUUUGCAUAUUGAGAUAAAAUUAAUCAGAUGCAUAUUCGAAUUAUCGCCUACAAGUCUACCAAAUAACCCUUUGAGUUGCAGUAGUUGGAUCAUAGUGCUAGUAAUAUUGAACUUGGCUUCGGGUGCCAAAGGCGGAGGAAUAAUAGCCCCUGUGGCACCAGCCCCAUCCAAGUCGUCAUCAUUAUUCUUAAAAGCAACUUGCACAGCUCGGCGUUUGGGUCUUAUCCUAGCUUGACGAUCUCUGUUGAUAUUUAUGUUCACUGGUGCAGCCACAUCAUCUGCAUGCCUUGUCUUUAAUAACUCAUCAUCACCCAGGUCCUCAUCAUCAAGAUUUGGUACCCGACUUGGGUUAUCAGCAUUCUGUUGAUUUACUUGCGCAGCUGCCAAUGUAGCUAAUCUAGCCUUCUCCUGUUGAGCAGCUAUUCUUUCAGGGUCUAGUUGCGCAUCCAUUCUGCCAAUGAGAUGUCGUUCAGGAUUUAUAGGUAAUAAUGGGUGGCCCAAUCUCCGCGUAUUUGGCAUGCAAUACACUCAACCUGAUCAAAACAAAAACAACAAACAAAAAGUAAAAUUUUGGAAAUCUUUGACCAAAAGGUCGACUAACAAACACAACUUAGUCGACAACCAUAUUCCCCAGCAACGGUGCCAAAAUUUGAUACGCCCAAAUUACACCUCUCUUAUGAGAGAGUAAGUGGUCGCUGUCAAAUAUAGAACCCAACCAGGUUGGGUGUCGAAUCCCAUAGGGAAUACUGUGUUACUAAGUAUUGUAGUUAUUACUGGACUGUUAGUCAGAGGUUCCUGAAUGGGGGGUUUUGGUUUAAAUGUGAAAUGAUAGUUACAAUACAACAAUGAAGCAAUAUGUGUAUUAAUAUUUGAUCACAGAGAAUGACAAGUUAGGGUUAUGUCCACCUUGUAGCUUUUACUUCUCUAUUNNNNNNNNNNNNNNNNNNNNNNNNNNNNNNNNNNNNNNNNNNNNNNNNNNNNNNNNNNNNNNNNNNNNNNNNNNNNNNNNNNNNNNNNNNNNNNNNNNNNNNNNNNNNNNNNNNNNNNNNNNNNNNNNNNNNNNNNNNNNNNNNNNNNNNNNNNNNNNNNNNNNNNNNNNNNNNNNNNNNNNNNNNNNNNNNNNNNNNNNNNNNNNNNNNNNNNNNNNNNNNNNNNNNNNNNNNNNNNNNNNUACUCAUGAAUAAAAUGGAAAUCACAAUAGAAAUACUCAUCAUACCAAAACUUAGAACGAUCUUGGUGGAGAAGAUGAAUAGUGAAAAUAAGAGAGAAAAACAUUUCUCUCCCUUUCUCCUCAAGCUAAGCCGCUUUUUCUCUUUUUUGAAAUAUACAAAAUAAUGAUUCCCUAAAAAUUCAGCCAUAAGGCUUUUAAUAACAUCCUUCUCUAAUAAAUUGCUACUGCAUCCUUAACUAUUUUAAAAUAUUAAGUUUGCCCGCCAAAUUGUCAUAAUCUUCCUCAUUAGUACCUGAAAAGCAUGCUAAUCACAUAGGUCAGCUCUCUUAACUAAAAAUAGACAAAGUGCAAGAAUUAUGUAUUUUAUCCUCAAAACUUAGCUAAAACAUGGGUAAGUUAUGGUGCUUAGACGUAUAAAUACACCCAACAUCAAGUAUGCACCCAUAUCUAUUAGCCUAUAAUUAGGGGGAGGGGCAGGAGUGGCAUUAUUAUGUAUGAUUCUGGCCUCUUUUAUCUUACAAUUAUAUUACUAUGCAUGACCAUCUGAUGACUUGAUAUAUAGAUUAAAACACUGAAUAUUCUAGAACUAGCUCCUUUAUGAUCAUGAGGUCUUAAAUAGCUAGUCUGAUGACAUAGGAUGUAUUUCGAGUAGCUUGGUUAUAUACUUAUAUAUAUAUAUAUAUAUGAAUAGUUAGCUAUAUGUAUCAUGGUAUUUUUGUAUAUCCCUUUUUUCCUUUAUUUACUCAGAUUAUAUACUUAUUACUUGGCCUUGUAUACAUAUAUUUAUCUUCUUUCUGCUUUUACUUGCAUAUUAUCCAGUGAUAUACAGUAUAGUGUUCAGAUUCCUAAGAAUGACUGGAAUGAGAUAGUGCAUUCUUAGAACUUUCUUAGCUUUAAUAUGUUAGUUUCUUGGACAUGAAUAGGAUAGUUUAUCCUUAUUAUCUCAUUAACUGUCCUAUAUGGUUGCUGGACAUGCUGUUGAUGUGUGCGUUGUGUAGAGCAACCAUGGUUCAGAUACUUAGAGUGAGCUCUUGACAUUCAAAAUGUUACUUAUCUCUCUCUUAUGUACUAGACUAGUCUCUAUGUUGUAUUUGGAGAUAAGUUGUAUCAGUGUAUUCAUUUGUAUUUCACUUUGAAAUCUUGUUAUGUAGAAGCUUUUGUACUGAUACCACCAGGUUUUGGUACUACAUUAUGUAUUUGAUCUCUUAUUUCAUCUAUUUUGUAUUCUUGCCUUGAUCUAGUUGGGUAGUCCAUUAAUAGCCUUGAAAUUCUUUUGAUGGACUCCCAAAUGUGCAUGUCUAUGCUCAUCUUUUGUAAGAGAUUACUUAUCCUCUUCUACAUAGGUAAUACUUCCCAUAGACAAUCUGCUAAGAGAAUCAACAACUACAUUUGCCUUACUCGGAUUAUACAACACACUCAUAUCAUAAUCCUUGAGAAGCUUAAGCCAUCUCCUCAGUUGAAAAUUCUACUCUUUAUUAGUGUAAACAUACUACAUGCUCUUAUAAUCCAUAAAACCAUCAACAUACACUCUAUAGAGAUAAUGGUGCUAUAUUUUUUAAGCAAACACUACAAUUGCUAACUCAAUAUCCUGAGUCAAAUAGUUCUUAUAAACCUUAAGUUAUGUAGGAGCACAAAAAAUAAUCUUGCCAUUAUACAUCAAAACAUAACUAAGACCAACUCUGGACAUAUCAUAAUACAACAUAAAAUGAUCUAUACCCUUUGGUAGGGUCAAAACUAGAGCAGAAGUAACCCAAGCCUUUAACUCCUGAAAGUUUUUCUCAUAAGCCUUAGACCACUAAAAUUUGACCUUUUUUAGAGUCAUCCUAGUCAAUGGGGGCUGAAAUGGACCAAAAAACCUACAUGAACCUUCUGUAAUAUCCAGGUAAAACUAAGAAACUCAUGAUAUCUAAUGAAGUUAUUGUUCUAGGUCAAUUUUUGAUUGUAUCAAUCUUCUCUGAGUCAACCUGUAUCUCCUCACUUGAAAUGACAUGACCAAGGAAGAAACUUGCCUCAACCAAAACAUUCUGUAGUCUCCUCGUUGCAAGUGUAACGAGCUUCACACCCACAAAAACGACUCUACUAAAUGCGACUUUUUCAUACAUCCUAAGACUCUUGAACCUAUUAUUUGUAUAAAGUUGGUGAUGACUCGAGUCUAUACCUUGGAUACGACAAGGCACUUUAAGCCACUAAUAUCACCACGUGGUCCAUUACCAUAGCAUAUCUAAGCAUAAUAUGAGAAAAAAAUGGAAUUUGUAAACUAAAUCGAUAACUAAAAUAGAAUUCAAGAUAAGAUUAUUACAACUAACUAUUAAUUUCUGAAAGCCUCUAAAACUGAGUAAAGAAUAUGUCGAGACAAGGCCUCAGCUACUCAUAAAACCAAGUUUGAAAUGAAUAAAAAGAACAACUAAACUAUGUCCCAAAAUAAGGAGGACUCACUAACUGCUGAACUAUGAACUACUAAUAACUAGCCACAGCCUGAGAAUGAUCGUCCAUAUCUACAUCAAUGAAAAUGUAGCACAAAAACUGUGUGUGGUCGGUACAAGGAUGGCUCUAUGUAUGUAAGAGACAAAGCUAAAUAACUACAAUCAUAACUAUAUUAUAAUUUAAGAAGUAGACUAAGAUGUGUCUUUUGUAGAUUAAAGUAUCAACUGAGAGUAAAAGUAGUUAAAGACUAUAAAUAAGGAUUUUUAAAAAUAAUGCAUAUUUGAAAUUACACUAUUUGAAAUGAUAUAGUGAUGAUAUCAGCUAAUUACUAAAAAUGAGUUAAGUUUUUAUGUGGAGUUUCUUAUAACUAAUAAACAUCACCUGAGCUAGUGAUGCCUAAUGUCAUACACCAUUGUUCUAACCAGCCAAGAUGUAGAACCAUAAUAUAAGGAUCCUGAAAUUAUGCGUCAAAUGAGACAAAACUAUUGUGGCUACAUAGUUAUGGAACUUGGGUUUUCUAAAUCCCUGUUCUCUUGGUGCUUAACAAUCUUCUCAAAACAGUUCAUAUAAUAUAAUGCUCAUGAUAUAUUGAUAUCAUAUCUAUUUGUAUGUAAAACUUGAAUCUUUAGAAUAAUUCAUAUUUCAAAGAUAUCAUGGAAUUCACCAUUCUUUGAAUUUUUCUAUUUUCUUGAAAGUUCAUAAUAUCAUAAAGAAUCAAGAAAUAAUACUUUGAAAUAUAAGCUUGAGGAAAAUAUUCGAAAUCAUGUCAAGAAUCAAAAUAGCAAUAAAACAUCCUUUCUAAUUUUAGAAGUGAAUUCAUCAUAAACAAAACACAUAAUAAUAGAUAAAGACUUCCACAAAAUCAUAUAAUUUACUAAAUAAAAAGAAAAUUUGAAAGUGGAUUUACAAACUCUAUAGAUGAUCUUUAAUUAAAGAAAACCAUAAAGUUUUAAACACGAAUAUAAAAAGUAAAUCCUCAUUGAAGUCUUACAUACCUUCAAUUUUUUCUCAAUGAAUCAAGAAGGAACCCUAACUUGAGGAAGAAGCUCGACGAAUUUAGUUCUUAUUAAAUUGAUUAAGAUUUUCUUGAAAACCCUAAGACCAUGAUUUAGAAUUCGUUAAGAAUUUGUUUUUGGAUGUUAUAAUUUCUUGAAAACUCUUAAAAUUAUAUGGAAGGGACUUAUCUUGGAUAUGAAGGAUAAGCAGAAGGGAAAAACCAAUUUAAGGUUGAUGGGAAUGAAAAUAAAGUGGAAAAAAUCUGAGAAAAUGAUUUUUAAUGACUUUCAUUGGCCUAACCACAUCCAAAAUGUAGCCAACACUUGGUGAAACAUGACCAAUAUCACCACUUGUUCCAAGCCAUAAUACCUAGAAAUUUGGGCUGAAAUGCAUUUCGCUCCUUGCGAAACACGACCAUCAUUUUGCUAUGGUCCACUACAAUUCUCUUAUUGUUGUAAAAUGACCAUAAAUUUGUAAUUUUAUAUGUAUCGGGUCUUUUAAUUCUUUAUAUUCUAGGAGUAUUUGUUUUUUGAAGUUUAUCCUUUUAAAAUCUCAUAUGGAAACUCAAUUAGUAAAGAAGCCUUCAACUCACCUUUGUGCUAGAGGUUCCUUAUGGCCUUAAUUUAUAUUAAAAAGUAUUAACACAUUAAAGAAUUGAUCUUACCACCUAUUUAUAAUUAUAAAUCAUCGAAUUAGGGUCUAUACAUUAAGAACAAUUUGGAUUUUAGUUCAUAUUUUAAGGUGUUACAAAUAAUCACUUGCAUCGAGUUCUUCCAGAAUAUGAAUUGUUCACAAAUUCAUAAUUUCCUUAUAGGUUACAUGACUUAUUAGGAUUCUAAAGCUUUUUCUUGGUAGAUUCUUAAUAUGAGACUCUAAUAGGGGUGGUAUUAACAUCUUCAAGGUUCAUUCCCCCAAAAGAGAACCAGAUUAGAGAUAUACGACUUUUGUAGACUUAUCCAUUAGAGGUACCUGUGACUUUACUAUUAGCUGAUCAUGUUUUCAUAGAUUGUAAUUAUUCUUCCUUAUUUAUAUUUCAUGGCACCUGGUGAGAGAUUAAGGUGACUUAAAUUGAAAUUAAAACAUAGCAACAAACUUUAACUAACUCAAAUCUAUAGUGGUUGGUUUUAGAUCUAUGAGCAAGGAAAUGAAAUUGUUGGAGAUGUGAAGAUUACCUGAUACACAAAGAAGUAAAGCUCAUCACCAGAGACAUAGAAGUUGGUUCAUUGGAGAAGGAAAACCUUGCUUCUAUUUUGGAUCUUGUUUGUUGCUGACUAUCUUCUUCUUUGUCUCUUAAGUUUUCUUUUUUGUUUUUU
Molecule: long non-coding RNA, 9913 nt
Filed under: Capsicum annuum
Lineage: Eukaryota; Viridiplantae; Streptophyta; Magnoliopsida; Solanales; Solanaceae
Description: long non-coding RNA (CANN_LNC010216)
Source: RNAcentral